RNAcentral lists this ribosomal RNA (514 nucleotides) under uncultured bacterium. RNAcentral describes it as "partial 16S ribosomal RNA". It matches the Rfam family "Bacterial small subunit ribosomal RNA", at positions 28 to 523 of the family's 1533-position model. The record is from RNAcentral.
GAUGAACGCUGGCGGCGUGCCUAAUACAUGCAAGUCGAGCGGAUGAAAGAGGAGCUUGCUCCUCUAGAUUCAGCGGGGGACGGGUGAGUAACACGUGGGCAACCUGCCCUGUAGAUUGGGAUAACUCCGGGAAACCGGGGCUAAUACCGAAUAAUCCUUCGGACCUCAUGGUCCGAUGUUGAAAGACGGUUUCGGCUGUCACUACAGGAUGGGCCCGCGGCGCAUGAGCUAGUUGGUGAGGUAACGGCUAACCAAGGCCACGAUGCGUAGCCGACCUGAGAGGGUGAUCGGCCACACUGGGACUGAGACACGGCCCAGACUCCUACGGGAGGCAGCAGUAGGGAAUCUUCCACAAUGGACGAAAGUCUGAUGGAGCAACGCCGCGUGAGUGAAGAAGGUUCUCGGACCGUAAAACUCUGUUGUGAGGGAAGAACAAGUACCGGAGUAACUGCCGGUGCCUUGACGGUACCUCAUUAGAAAGCCACGGCUAACUACGUGCCAGCCGCCGCAGUAA